ACACGCUGGCGGCGUGCCUAAUACAUGCAAGUCGAACGGUCUUUCUAUGGAAGCUUGCUUCACUGAGAAGAUAGUGGCGAACGGGUGAGUAACACGUGGGUAACCCUGCCCAUAAGAGGGGGAGUAACAUCCGGAAACGGGUGCUAAUACCGCAUAGUUUUCUUGAUUGCAUGAUUGAGAAAGGAAAGACGGCCUUUGUGCUGUCGCUUAUGGAUGGACCCGCGGCGUAUUAGUUAGUUGGUGAGGUAACGGCUCACCAAGACGAUGAUACGUAGCCGACCUGAGAGGGUGAUCGGCCACAUUGGGACUGAGACACGGCCCAAACUCCUACGGGAGGCAGCAGUAGGGAAUCUUCCGCAAUGGACGAAAGUCUGACGGAGCAACGCCGCGUGAGUGAAGAAGGUUUUUCCGGGAUCGUAAAACUCUGUUGUCAGAGAAGAACAAGUUGGAGAGUAACUGCUCCAGCCUUGACGGUAUCUGACCAGAAAGCCACGGCUAACUACGUGCCAGCAGCUGC
This 517-nucleotide ribosomal RNA is filed under the name uncultured bacterium. RNAcentral describes it as "bacterial SSU rRNA". It matches the Rfam family "Bacterial small subunit ribosomal RNA", at positions 33 to 518 of the family's 1533-position model. The record is from RNAcentral.